AGGAGUGUAGCUUAAUUGGUAGAGUUCCGGUCUCCAAAACCGGCGGUUAGGGGUUCGAGUCCCUUCACUCCUG
Molecule: transfer RNA, 73 nt
Filed under: Holospora obtusa F1
Lineage: Bacteria; Pseudomonadati; Pseudomonadota; Alphaproteobacteria; Holosporales; Holosporaceae
Rfam family: tRNA
About the family: Transfer RNA (tRNA) molecules are approximately 80 nucleotides in length. Their secondary structure includes four short double-helical elements and three loops (D, anti-codon, and T loops).
Source: Rfam by way of RNAcentral